CGGAUUAGCGGCGGACGGGUGAGUAACACGUGAGUAACCUGCCUUAGACAUUGGGAUAGCCUCGGGAAACCGGGAUUAAUACCAAAUAAAAUCAUAAUGACACAUGUCAUAACGAUCAAAACUCCGGUGGUCUAAGAUGGACUCGCGUCCCAUUAGCUAGUUGGUAGAGUAAAAGCUACCAAGGCGACGAUGGGUAGCCGGCCUGAGAGGGUGAACGGCCACAUUGGAGCUGAGAAACGGUCCAA
RNAcentral lists this ribosomal RNA (245 nucleotides) under uncultured Eubacteriales bacterium. RNAcentral describes it as "uncultured Clostridiales bacterium partial 16S ribosomal RNA". It matches the Rfam family "Bacterial small subunit ribosomal RNA", at positions 88 to 334 of the family's 1533-position model. The record is from RNAcentral. Lineage: Bacteria; Bacillati; Bacillota; Clostridia; Eubacteriales.